CAUGCAUACUUCACCAUACCCAGAAUAUUCCACACAUAUAUCAAAAUGGUGUGCUAGAAAAUAAAUCAAAGUAAGGAUCUAAAUACACAAGGUACCAUGGUGAUCUCAGGUCAAAGGAUCAUAUGCACCACUCCCACUAGAGAAUCAUCUGUUGACAUGCUGUAAGGCUCCAUCAAAUAUUCUUCAUGUGGGUUAGUUCAGUGAACUCAUUCUCUAGUGAGCACCUACAUCCUUGUAUUAGUAUCACCACAUAAGUGAUUGUGAGA
Molecule: long non-coding RNA, 266 nt
Filed under: Elaeis guineensis (African oil palm)
Lineage: Eukaryota; Viridiplantae; Streptophyta; Magnoliopsida; Arecales; Arecaceae
Description: long non-coding RNA (EGUI_LNC078788)
Source: RNAcentral